GGAUAUAUGACAAAGCGGAUUUAGUGUUGUAUUCAGUGACACCUGCCAUCCAGGUCGCUUGUAGAGCAACCUGUCUUGAGAAUUUGAUAACAGCAGGGCAUGAAUGCGUCCGCCACGUCGGCGGGACGCAUUGAUCUAUACCUUGACAAUUCAACUCUGCCGCAUCAGGUAUGAGCCCAAGUGGCGAUCGCCUUAAAUGCAAAAAGCUUCGCUGCUCCCGUACUUUAGGAAGCGCCUCGUCUGUGGGGCGUGUGUCAAACGUAGCUGGUUUGCAGAAAAGUAUUUGGCUGGACCACGAAAACAGUACGCUACACGUUAACAUUGGGCAGCUUCAAUAUGUCUGUAUCCGUAGAGCUUUCUCUCCCGCUUCAGGAACGAUAUGUA
Molecule: small RNA, 384 nt
Filed under: Histoplasma capsulatum
Lineage: Eukaryota; Fungi; Ascomycota; Eurotiomycetes; Onygenales; Ajellomycetaceae
Also listed under: 1 other name
Description: hypothetical RNA
Source: RNAcentral